AUUGAACGCUGGCGGCCGGCCUAACACAUGCAAGUCGAGCGAGCGGCGGACGGGUGAGUAAUGUAUGGGGACUGCCCGAUAUAGGGGGAUAACUCCUGGAAACGGUUGCUAAUAUCGCAUACUCUCUGAUAACUCCUAUGGGAUUAGCUAGUAGGUGAGGUAAUGGCUCACCUAGUCGACGAUCCCUAGCUGGUCUGAGAGGAUGAUCAGCCACACUGGGACUGAGACACGGCCCAGACUCCUACGGAGGCAGCAGUGGGGAAUAUUGCACAAUGGGCGCAAGCCUGAUGCAGCCAUGCCGCGUGUAUGAAGAAGGCCCUAGGGUUGUAAAGUACUUUUGGCAGAGAAGCGGUAUCUGCAGAAUAAGCACCGGCUAACUACGUGCCAGCAGCCGCGGUAAUAC
RNAcentral lists this ribosomal RNA (403 nucleotides) under uncultured bacterium. RNAcentral's name for it is "partial 16S ribosomal RNA". It matches the Rfam family "Bacterial small subunit ribosomal RNA", at positions 30 to 526 of the family's 1533-position model. The record is from RNAcentral.